RNAcentral lists this ribosomal RNA (810 nucleotides) under uncultured bacterium. RNAcentral describes it as "bacterial SSU rRNA". It matches the Rfam family "Bacterial small subunit ribosomal RNA", at positions 1 to 810 of the family's 1533-position model. The record is from RNAcentral.
UGAGAGUUUGAUCCUGGCUCAGAUUGAACGCUGGCGGCAGGCUUAACACAUGCAAGUCGAGCGGAGAUGAGGUGCUUGCACCUUAUCUUAGCGGCGGACGGGUGAGUAAUGCUUAGGAAUCUGCCUAUUAGUGGGGGACAACAUUCCGAAAGGAAUGCUAAUACCGCAUACGUCCUACGGGAGAAAGCAGGGGAUCUUCGGACCUUGCGCUAAUAGAUGAGCCUAAGUCGGAUUAGCUAGUUGGUGGGGUAAAGGCCUACCAAGGCGACGAUCUGUAGCGGGUCUGAGAGGAUGAUCCGCCACACUGGGACUGAGACACGGCCCAGACUCCUACGGGAGGCAGCAGUGGGGAAUAUUGGACAAUGGGGGGAACCCUGAUCCAGCCAUGCCGCGUGUGUGAAGAAGGCCUUAUGGUUGUAAAGCACUUUAAGCGAGGAGGAGGCUACUGAGACUAAUACUCUUGGGUAGUGGACGUUACUCGCAGAAUAAGCACCGGCUAACUCUGUGCCAGCAGCCGCGGUAAUACAGAGGGUGCGAGCGUUAAUCGGAUUUACUGGGCGUAAAGCGUGCGUAGGCGGCUUUUUAAGUCGGAUGUGAAAUCCCCGAGCUUAACUUGGGAAUUGCAUUCGAUACUGGGAAGCUAGAGUAUGGGAGAGGAUGGUAGAAUUCCAGGUGUAGCGGUGAAAUGCGUAGAGAUCUGGAGGAAUACCGAUGGCGAAGGCAGCCAUCUGGCCUAAUACUGACGCUGAGGUACGAAAGCAUGGGGAGCAAACAGGAUUAGAUACCCUGGUAGUCCAUGCCGUAAACGAU